Molecule: long non-coding RNA, 2148 nt
Organism: Rosa chinensis
Lineage: Eukaryota; Viridiplantae; Streptophyta; Magnoliopsida; Rosales; Rosaceae
Exons: 2
Source: RefSeq, a predicted model, not a curated record
UUUUUGUCCAUCAGACUUUAUCUUUGCACGUGGUAACCGUUCACUCUUCUUCUUCUUCUUCUUCUUCUUCUUCAUCUCAUCUCUCUCUCUCUCUCUCUCUCUCUCUCUCAUGUUGCAGCCAUCUCCAGUCCAUGGCAACAACAGCAGUACUUUUCCACUUGCUCUCUCUAUCAGAUUAGCAAUCCGCUGCUCAUUGUUAGGGCUUCAAGAGUAUCGGCCAUGAUCUUCUAUUACGGAUGGUCUCUAUAUGUGUUUGGCUUCAUCUCACUUAAAUGGCUAGACUGAAAUCUCAGAUCUGUAAGAAAGGUGCAACAAAUUGGUUUUCUUUGUUAACUUUAGCGAAUUGAUUCUUUUCUUAUGUUUGGUUGUUUCUUGAUUUUGUUUUUAGGCUCUUACAUGCCCCUUUUUGUAAGGCAGAUCUAAAUUUUGGGGUUAACCUUUGAAGGUUAGAAACUUAGAAUGUAACUUUUCAUAUUUUUCAAAAAAAGCUGACUUCUUUUUAUGAUCACUGGAUUAGGCAAAGUUGGGAUAAUUUAGAGUAGUAACUAGGAUUUCAAAAUAGGUUCAACAUUGUUUUUUACCUUCCCUAAAAGUGUGCUGGGUUCUUCCAGAAACAUGAGAAAGGAUGGUGCGUUUUAAUUAAACAAUUUCAAGUCAUGUUUUAUCCUUUAUAAAUUGUGUUGGGUUUGGGGUUCUGACCUUAUAAGUCAUGUGAAUUUGUGUGGGUCUUUCGUAUUUUCUUGUUGUUAUCCAUUAGAUUUUUGCUGAAAUGGUUAGCAAUUUAUAUUUUUUCCUUUUAAGACUUUCGUUGUUUCUAUUAUCUAUAGAUGUAAGACAUAUAGUUGGAAAACAAAAGAGAAGCCUAAUUGGUUUCUGUUGGUGCAAGAGAAGUUGUACUCUUAUCUUUAGCCAAUAAAGGACUUGUCGUAAGGACAUCACAAAUCAGGGGUCACUGGAUCUUACACAUCAUUAGAGAAGGUUGGGCAAUUUGAUCAUUUAGAACUUGUUACUCUUUACAUAUAUGGAUUCCAACAUAAUCUAUAUAAAAUAAGGCUUUUGCCCGUGGAGUUUGAUACUCAUAUUAUCUUUAUGAGCUAAAAAAUCUCAUAUACGUAUGUUUGUAUUUUUGCUGGUUGGCUGGGCAUGUCAAUCAAAUGAUAACCACAAUUUAUUUAAAUUUUUUCUCUUAGCACAUAAGAGGGCCAGAGGGUGAGUUCGAGUUCGAGGUCAUAGAUGUGUAAUGUAUAACUCUGUUUAGCCAAAUUAGAAGCAUUUUGUUGAGGUGGUAUGGCCUCUGAUCCAUUUCUUGAUUUGCAGGUUUGCGAACGAGUUUAUCAGUACUUAGUUGAAGUGAUCAAGUUGGAAGAGUUGCAACUUGCAAGUAAAUGACUUCAUAUCUUAUCAUGUGUGAUGUUUUGUACUAUACUACAUUUCAAUGUUAUAUGCUUGUUCUUGCUAUGGACUUCACAUGAUUAGCUUUAGUAAUAAGAGCUUUUGUCUUUAUUAGUUCUACUAGGUAACUUUGUGGGACAAUAUGAACUACAUUAAUGUACAAGGUAUCUUACUAAUAUAGUCAUAUAUGUCAAAUGUAAAAGAUAACAAAUGACUCUAUAAACUUGCAACUGUAUGGUAUUGCCUACUGGUUCUAGUAAGUUUAUAGGAUGCUACCUUUUGAUAGAGAAUGAUUCUGUUAAGUUAUGUUCUCAUGCUAAAACAUGUCAAUGAUCCAUAUAGAGAAUUAAUGGAGAAAUAGAAAGAUUUGUAUUGAAGGGUGAUUUUAAAUUUGUGCCAACACCCAUAUGUUGCAAUUGGAAUUUAGGUUUGCAGUUUGCUCACAGCUUUUAUUGCAAUUGUCAUUUAGUGUUUGAUUAACAGCUUUGUUCAUGUAUCUCCGUAUCUUUCAUUUAUAGACCAGAUUUUGCAGGAGGUGGAGUUGCUGUUGGAGUUUCAACUUGAAGUUGUAGUCAUAAGCCAUUGAAGUUAUGAUUAAUUUAGACUAGUAUAGAUGUACUGAUGUAUUCCAAUUAGUAUAGGAGGGUAAAUUCUUGUUAGUACAAGCUAUGUAUCUAUAUUUCAAUAGUAAGAGACUACUGUAUUAUUUUUAUUUAUCAAAAUUGAGGAUUUAAUAUUUAGUAAUCCGUUUCUACA